ACCAACCAAAGAACAUACAGAGGCUGAGCA
This 30-nucleotide non-coding RNA is filed under the name Rattus norvegicus (Norway rat). The record is from RNAcentral. Lineage: Eukaryota; Metazoa; Chordata; Mammalia; Rodentia; Muridae.